AACGAACGCUGGCGGCAUGCCUAACACAUGCAAGUCGAACGAGACCUUCGGGUCUAGUGGCGCACGGGUGCGUAACGCGUGGGAACCUGCCCUUAGGUUCGGAAUAACUCCCCGAAAGGGGUGCUAAUACCGGAUAAUGUCUUCGGACCAAAGAUUUAUCGCCUUUGGAUGGGCCCGCGUUGGAUUAGCUAGUUGGUAGGGUAAAAGCCUACCAAGGCGACGAUCCAUAGCUGGUCUGAGAGGAUGAUCAGCCACACUGGGACUGAGACACGGCCCAGACUCCUACGCGAGGCAGCAGAGGGGAAUAUUGGACAAUGGGCGAAAGCCUGAUCCAGCAAUGCCGCGUGAGUGAUGAAGGCCUUAGGGUUGUAAAGCUCUUUUACCCGGGAUGAUAAUGACAGUACCGGGAGAAUAAGCUCCGGCUAACUCCGUG
This 433-nucleotide ribosomal RNA is filed under the name uncultured bacterium. RNAcentral describes it as "partial 16S ribosomal RNA". It matches the Rfam family "Bacterial small subunit ribosomal RNA", at positions 29 to 507 of the family's 1533-position model. The record is from RNAcentral.